GUUUGUUUAUUUGCUGAUUUUUUUCCCCUCCCCUCUCUGACUUGGCCGAGUUAAGAGUUUUGUAUUUGUCAAGCAGCGUGCAGACAUCUGUGCUGUGUGCCUCUGACAUUCUCUCCCCUAAAAUAGAGAUUGCUGUCUUUCAGCUGCAGAACUCGUACGCCCACUCCCUGACAUCUGCCCUUCAUUACUUGGUUCCCGUGCGACCACGACGACAGAUUGUCUAUCCUCUGGAAAAGCUUGGCAUAAACGCUCCAUCAAAGGAGGUCUCCAAGGAUCAGGCAAGUUAUGCCUUAUACCACACAAACAGAAAACUAACGUUAGAACCGAAAGUCACUGUCAAUGCCAGAAUCGUUGUGGUUGGUGCAUCCAGUGUUGGCAUUUCAUUCUUAGAGACACUGG
Molecule: long non-coding RNA, 399 nt
Filed under: Cricetulus griseus (Chinese hamster)
Lineage: Eukaryota; Metazoa; Chordata; Mammalia; Rodentia; Cricetidae
Description: lncRNA (ENSCGRG00000025170.1)
Source: RNAcentral